GACGAACGCUGGCGGCGUGCUUAACACAUGCAAGUCGAACGGAAAGGCCCUGCUUUUGUGGGGUGCUCGAGUGGCGAACGGGUGAGUAACACGUGAGUAACCUGCCCUUGACUUUGGGAUAACUUCAGGAAACUGGGGCUAAUACCGGAUAGGAGCUCCUGCUGCAUGGUGGGGGUUGGAAAGUUUCGGCGGUUGGGGAUGGAAUCGCGGCUUAUCAGCUUGUUGGUGGGGUAGUGGCUUACCAAGGCUUUGAAGGGUAGCCGGCCUGAGAGGGUGACCGGCCACGUUGGGACUGAGAUACGACCCAGACUCCUACGGGAGGCAGCAGUGGAGAAUAUUGCACAAUGGGCGGAAGCCUGAUGCAGCAACGCCGCGUGCGGGAUGACGGCCAUCGGGUUGUGAACCGCUGUCGCCUGUGACGAAGCGUGAGUGACGGUAAUGGGUAAAGAAGCACCGGCUAACUACGUG
RNAcentral lists this ribosomal RNA (468 nucleotides) under uncultured bacterium. Its description in RNAcentral is "partial 16S ribosomal RNA". It matches the Rfam family "Bacterial small subunit ribosomal RNA", at positions 28 to 507 of the family's 1533-position model. The record is from RNAcentral.